This 467-nucleotide ribosomal RNA is filed under the name uncultured bacterium. Its description in RNAcentral is "partial 16S ribosomal RNA". It matches the Rfam family "Bacterial small subunit ribosomal RNA", at positions 29 to 507 of the family's 1533-position model. The record is from RNAcentral.
ACGCACGCUGGCGGCGUGCUUAACCCAUGCAAGUCGAACGGAAAGGCCCUGCUUUUGUGGGGUUCUCGAGUGGCGAACGGGUGAGUAACACGUGAGUAACCUGCCCUUGACUUUGGGAUAACUUCUGGAAACUGGGGCUAAUACCGGAUAGGAGCUCCUGCUGCAUGGUGGGGGUUGGAAAGUUUCGGCGGUUGGGGAUGGACUCUCGGCUUAUCAGCUUGUUGGUGGGGUAGUGGCUUACCAAGGCUUUGACGGGUAGCCGGCCUGAGAGGGUGACCGGCCACAUUGGGACUGAGAUACGGCCCAGACUCCUACGGGAGGCAGCAGUGGGGAAUAUUGCACAAUGGGCGGAAGCCUGAUGCAGCAACGCCGCGUGCGGGAUGACGGCCUUCGGGUUGUAAACCGCUUUCGCCUGUGACGAAGCGUGAGUGACGGUAAUGGGUAAAGAAGCACCGGCUAACUACGUG